This 463-nucleotide ribosomal RNA is filed under the name Vreelandella stevensii. RNAcentral's name for it is "partial 16S ribosomal RNA". It matches the Rfam family "Bacterial small subunit ribosomal RNA", at positions 338 to 793 of the family's 1533-position model. Lineage: Bacteria; Pseudomonadati; Pseudomonadota; Gammaproteobacteria; Oceanospirillales; Halomonadaceae. The record is from RNAcentral.
CCUACGGGGUGCAGCAGUGGGGAAUAUUGGACAAUGGGCGAAAGCCUGAUCCAGCCAUGCCGCGUGUGUGAAGAAGGCCUUCGGGUUGUAAAGCACUUUCAGUGGGGAAGAAAGCCUUGGGGCUAAUACCCUCGAGGAAGGACAUCACCCACAGAAGAAGCACCGGCUAACUCCGUGCCAGCAGCCGCGGUAAUACGGAGGGUGCGAGCGUUAAUCGGAAUUACUGGGCGUAAAGCGCGCGUAGGCGGUCUGAUAAGCCGGUUGUGAAAGCCCCGGGCUCAACCUGGGAACGGCAUCCGGAACUGUCAGGCUAGAGUGCAGGAGAGGAAGGUAGAAUUCCCGGUGUAGCGGUGAAAUGCGUAGAGAUCGGGAGGAAUACCAGUGGCGAAGGCGGCCUUCUGGACUGACACUGACGCUGAGGUGCGAAAGCGUGGGUAGCAAACAGGAUUAGAUACCCCAGUAG